Molecule: ribosomal RNA, 494 nt
Filed under: uncultured bacterium
Lineage: Bacteria
Description: partial 16S ribosomal RNA
Rfam family: Bacterial small subunit ribosomal RNA
Source: RNAcentral
GACGAACGCUGGCGGCGCGCUUAACGCAUGCAAGUCGAACGGAAAGGCCUGCUUUCCCUUGUGGAUUGCGGGUACUCGAGUGGCGAACGGGUGAGUAACACGUGAGUGAUCUGCCCCCAACUUGGGUAUAAGCCUGGGAAACUGGGUCUAAUUCCCGAUAGGACUGCAGGGUGGUGCCUGUGGUGGAAAACGAUUUUCUAGUGGUUGGGGAUGAGCUCGCGGCCUAUCAGCUUGUUGGUGGGGUAAUGGCCUACCAAGGCGGCGACGGGUAGCCGGCCUGAGAGGGUGGACGGCCACAUUGGGACUGAGAUACGGCCCAGACUCCUACGGGAGGCAGCAGUGGGGAAUAGUGCACAAUGGGCGGAAGCCCGAUGCAGCGACGCCGCGUGGGGGAUGACGGCCUUCGGGUUGUAAACUCCUUUCGACCGCGAGGAAGCCACCUGGUUGGAAGGGUGGUGACGGUAGUGGUAGAAGAAGCACCGGCUAACUACGUG